GGGUGAGUAACACGUGGAUAACCUACCUAUAAGACUGGGACAACUUCGGGAAACCGGAGCUAAUACCGGAUAAUAUUUUGAACCGCAUGGUUCAAAAGUGAAAGACGGUCUUGCUGUCACUUAUAGAUGGAUCCGCGCUGCAUUAGCUAGUUGGUAAGGUAACGGCUUACCAAGGCAACGAUGCAUAGCCGACCUGAGAGGGUGAUCGGCCACACUGGAACUGAGACACGGUCCAG
Molecule: ribosomal RNA, 236 nt
Filed under: uncultured Staphylococcus sp.
Lineage: Bacteria; Bacillati; Bacillota; Bacilli; Caryophanales; Staphylococcaceae
Description: partial 16S ribosomal RNA
Rfam family: Bacterial small subunit ribosomal RNA
Source: RNAcentral